GGACCAAUGAUGACAACUGCCGGCGUAUGAGUGUUGGGUGAUGAAUAAUACGUGUCUAGAACUCUGAGGUCCAACAUACAAAACACCUCAAUAAGCAAGGAUCAGUGGAGGAAUAUCUAGUUUAAAAAAAAUCAUCUUCUCUUUUUUGUACUCCUCAGAGUGAUAAUCUCGAGGUGAUUUAUGCAUUCUUCCAUGGCCACCAGCCUUAUGAUUGCAUCUGUGCGUCACAGCUUAGAGAUCAAUAAUGGAUGCAACAAGCUCUUUGAAUCAUUCUGUUGGGAUCAAGAUUGUUGUGUUCCCUCUGUUUGGAAAGAGACCAAGAAUGGAUACGCUCAGGUGAUUUAAGCAGUCUUCCAUGGCCACGAGCUCUGUGGUUGCCUCUGUAUAUUAAGAGCACAGAGAUUAAAAAUGGCCCCAUUCCAGCUGAUAUAAGCACUCUUCCAUGGCAUGUGCACUAUGGUUGGUUCUCUGUGUUAGGAGCACACAAACCAUUGCGAGUAUGCAUUCAUUUCCUCUCUUUACAAGAAUGGGUGCACUUGAGCCGAUUGAAACAUUCCUCCUUGCAUCUUUCUUCUGUGAUUGCAUCUAUUUGUUAGUAGCAUAGAGACCAAUAAUAGAUGGCUUGUGCUGAUGGAAGGAUUCCUCCCUGGUGACAUGCUGUGUCUGCCUCUUGAUUGGGAGCACGCAGACCUACAAUGAUGCACUUUUUAUGAUUUGAGAAUUCCUUCAUGGUCACGUGCUCUGUUUUUAUCAUGGUUGGGAGCCUGCAGAGCAAUAAGGGACAUGCCUUUGCUGAUUUGAGGAUUCCUCUGAGGUUGGGAGCUAAGUUUGCAUCAUGCUUAGAAAGGAGUGUGCAGACCUGUAAUGAUUGCACUUUGCUGAUUGAAGGAUUCCUUCAAGUCCAUGUGCUCCACUUGCACCAUUUUUAGGAUGGAGCCUGGAGACCUAUAAUGAACAACUUGUGCUGUGUUAAGGAUUCCUCCAUGAUCACGCGCCCCAUUUGUACACCAUGCUUGGGAAGGUGCAUGCAGACCAAUGUUAGUAAUAGUCAAAAUUCCUGUGUCGGUUUGUGUGGUUUGCUAAACAGGACUCAAUGUAUCAUGAAACAGUGUAUUAUAUAGUCAACUAUGGUCAACUAUGUCCCAGUGAUAUUUAUGAGAGGGAUCUGAAGUAUUUAUUGAUAAUGCAUAUAUGAAAAACGGAGAAGAAUUAAUGAAACAGAUAUAUCUGUGUUAGAAUGAUUCUGUAUAAAGAUAGGGAAUAUCAAGUCUGUUCUUAGUGUUUUGUGAAUCACAGAGUGUAAAAUUAUUCCCAGUGAAUUAAUGAAUAAAUUUAAAGACAACAUAGAAAUGAAUGCAGAAAAA
Molecule: long non-coding RNA, 1364 nt
Organism: Homo sapiens (human)
Lineage: Eukaryota; Metazoa; Chordata; Mammalia; Primates; Hominidae
Gene: MEG8
Product: maternally expressed 8, small nucleolar RNA host gene
Source: Ensembl